Brachypodium distachyon (stiff brome) is the source of this 136-nucleotide non-coding RNA. NCBI's taxonomy places the organism in Eukaryota, Viridiplantae, Streptophyta, Magnoliopsida, Poales, Poaceae. The record is from Rfam.
UUACUACUUCCUCCGGCCGGUAUUAAGCGUCCCAACUUUGACUAUAUACACAUGUAUCUACACACUAAAACGUGUCAAGAUACAUGUGUAUUUAGACAAAUUUGUGACACUUGAUACCGGAUGGAGGGAGUACUUG